This 382-nucleotide unclassified non-coding RNA is filed under the name Hevea brasiliensis (rubber tree). The record is from RNAcentral. Lineage: Eukaryota; Viridiplantae; Streptophyta; Magnoliopsida; Malpighiales; Euphorbiaceae.
AUUUUUGUCUUUAACUGAAAAAGUAUAGUCUUUUACUAUACUUUUGUCAUUUAAUGUUAAAUUUUGAUUUUAUUUAGUCCCUCAAUUUCAAUUUUAUUGAAAACUUCACUAAUAUUAGUUUCACUAAUAUUAGUUUAAGGACAUAUAUUGAUAUUUUUUAAGCAGUAGGGAUUCAAGUGUUACUUUACUAAAUGUCAUGGGUUCUAGUAGUUCUUUUGUAGGUAGGUGUUAGAAUUAUGACUCAAAGUACUAGUGGGAUUUGGAGAGAGACAUUUUCCUAAUUUGAGUUGGAGAAAUAUUUUUCAAUAGGAGGUGUAUUUCCUAUAUAGAGUAGAAUUCCUAUUUUAAUUUUAUUCCGAAAUUGAGUGGGACUCCUAAUUAG